AAUUGACCAAUCAAAAUGAACUUAGUCAAAUGUAGGUCCAUACAUAUAAAAUUAUUUUUCUUUUCUUUUGAGGCGUUUUUCUAUUUUCUUCCAAGCCAUUUUUACAACUUUGGUACCUGUGCCUAGUAAAUUUUAUGUACUUUGUGAAUAAAUAAAGGUUUUUGACAGGAACUAUUUUUUUCAGGGCAUAGGAGGCUACUUCCUGUGAUGCACUCGAGGUGUUUAUAAACAAAGUGAAAACACGUGGAUUUGAGGGUAGCCCUGUUUGCAGAUGGAAAAAGUCCGAAAAUGCCGUGUGGGUACCCUGUUUUUUGGUGUCAGCUAAUGUGACAGGGCAUAGGAGGCUACUUCCUGUGAUGCACUCGAGGUGUUUAUAAACAAAGUGAAAACACGUGGAUUUGAGGGUAGCCCUGUUUGCAGAUGGAAAAAGUCCGAAAAUGCCGUGUGGGUACCCUGUUUUUUGGUGUCAGCUAAUGUGACAGGGCAUAGGAGGCUACUUCCUGUGAUGCACUCGAGGUGUUUAUAAACAAAGUGAAAACACGUGGAUUUGAGGGUAGCCCUGUUUGCAGAUGGAAAAAGUCCGAAAAUGCCGUGUGGGUACCCUGUUUUUUGGUGUCAGCUAAUGUGACAGGUAA
Saccostrea cuccullata (small rock oyster) is the source of this 635-nucleotide long non-coding RNA. RefSeq lists it as uncharacterized. The transcript has 3 exons. The record is from RefSeq and is a predicted model, not a curated record. NCBI's taxonomy places the organism in Eukaryota, Metazoa, Mollusca, Bivalvia, Ostreida, Ostreidae.